AUUGAACGCUGGCGGCAUGCCUUACACAUGCAAGUCGAACGGCAGCACGGGGCAACCUGGUGGCGAGUGGCGAACGGGUGAGUAAUGCAUCGGAACGUGCCAUUGAGUGGGGGAUAACGUAGCGAAAGUUGCGCUAAUACCGCAUAUUCUGUGAGCAGGAAAGCAGGGGACCGCAAGGCCUUGCGCUCUUUGAGCGGCCGAUGUCAGAUUAGCUAGUUGGUGAGGUAAAGGCUUACCAAGGCGACGAUCUGUAGCGGGUCUGAGAGGAUGAUCCGCCACACUGGAACUGAGACACGGUCCAGACUCCUACGGGAGGCAGCAGUGGGGAAUUUUGGACAAUGGGCGCAAGCCUGAUCCAGCCAUGCCGCGUGAGUGAAGAAGGCCU
This 385-nucleotide ribosomal RNA is filed under the name uncultured bacterium. RNAcentral describes it as "bacterial SSU rRNA". It matches the Rfam family "Bacterial small subunit ribosomal RNA", at positions 30 to 417 of the family's 1533-position model. The record is from RNAcentral.